CAUAUUUACCGGAGAUCUUUAGGGAAAUACACAGACUUCAAGAUGUUCUCUGAUGAGAUUUUGUUAUCAUUGACAAGAAAGGAAAAUGAUGAAGCAGCCAAGAAGAUUGCAAAAGAAGGACAGUUGAUGGCUAGGGACCUACUACAGCCACACAGGCUUUACUGCUACUAUUACCAAGUACUGCAGAAAUAUGCUGAGCGCCAGUCCAGCAAACCCAAAGUACGUGAUGGAAUGGAACUUAUUCCUCAGCCAGAAGAUAGCACAGCCAUCUGCCAGUGCCACAGGAAAAAGCCUUCAAGAGAAGAACUUUGAGUCAGCCCAGAUUCACACUCCUGUGUAUCCCGGCUACAUCUUUAAGGAAAGAUUGAAUCUAAGCUGUGAAGGACAGUACAGAAGACUGCACCAAGUGGACUAGUUCUCCCGGUGGCUUUAUAUAUGUAGGUGGAUAUAGCAGUACUGGUUGAGUAUCCCUUAUCUGAAAUGCUUAGGACCAGGAGUGUUUCAGGUUUCAGAUUUUUUCAGAUUUGGGGAUAUUUGCAUAGACAUAAUGAGAUAUCUUGGGGAUGAGAUCCAAGUCUAAACACAAAAUU
Molecule: small RNA, 590 nt
Filed under: Pongo abelii (Sumatran orangutan)
Lineage: Eukaryota; Metazoa; Chordata; Mammalia; Primates; Hominidae
Description: processed transcript
Source: RNAcentral